RNAcentral lists this ribosomal RNA (253 nucleotides) under uncultured bacterium. RNAcentral describes it as "partial 16S ribosomal RNA". It matches the Rfam family "Bacterial small subunit ribosomal RNA", at positions 524 to 776 of the family's 1533-position model. The record is from RNAcentral.
AACGUAGGACGCAAGCGUUAUCCGGAGUUACUGGGCGUAAAGCGCGAGCAGGCGGCUCGACAAGUUCGAUGUGAAAGCGCCCGGCUCAACCGGGCGAGGCCAUUGGAAACUAUCGAGCUGGAGGGCAGUAGAGGCAGGCGGAAUUCCGGGUGGAGUGGUGAAAUGCGUAGAGAUCCGGAGGAACACCAUAGGCGAAGGCGGCCUGCUGGGCUGCACCUGACGCUGAGCCGCGAAAGCCAGGGGAGCGAACGGG